UACAGAGGAUGCAAGCGUUAUCCGGAAUGAUUGGGCGUAAAGCGUCUGUAGGUGGCUUUUUAAGUCCGCCGUCAAAUCCCAGGGCUCAACCCUGGACAGGCGGUGGAAACUACCAAGCUGGAGUACGGUAGGGGCAGAGGGAAUUUCCGGUGGAGCGGUGAAAUGCGCAGAUAUCAGGAGGAACACCGGUGGCGAAGGCGCCACUCUGGGCCGGUACUGACGCUGAGGAGCGAAAGCGUGGGUAGCAAACAGG
Molecule: ribosomal RNA, 253 nt
Filed under: uncultured bacterium
Lineage: Bacteria
Description: partial 16S ribosomal RNA
Rfam family: Bacterial small subunit ribosomal RNA
Source: RNAcentral